CCACGUAUUCCAACACUCAUCAACAGGAUCCACGCGGUGGAUCUCACAACUUUUCAUCUGCUAUUCUAAAAUUGUUGCCUUUAAUCUUUAUGAAUAACACCAUCUUCAUUUUGUAGCCAAAUUCGAAAGUCGAAGGGUUUCAUUUCAGAAAAGUUUGCUCCUUUCAUGAACAAGGAAAAGGGCUAGAUAUGUUUGAAAUCUUGAGGUUGUAUUCCCAAUUGGAUAUGGAGAUCAUAAUACGUGUUUUCACUACUGAUUUGGAUAUCGUGUAGAAGCAGUUCUUGGAUAUUGGAGACUUGGGUGAGGUCUUGGGGUCCAGAGAUUACCUAUCUCCCUCCAUUUUGGAUGGACUAUUCUUUAUUUUGUAUUCGAAGACAGUUGUACUAUUGUUGUAUUUAUAUAAACCUUGUACUUCCUUAUUUAAUUUAAUAGCUCGACUAUCGACUGAUAUUAGGUCUUGGGGGUUAUCUUGCUAUAUUGAUCUCAUUCUUCUUCUCCUCUUAUUAUUGUUAUUAUUAAUAUUAUAAUUAUUUGUUUCUUUC
Solanum dulcamara is the source of this 542-nucleotide long non-coding RNA. RefSeq lists it as uncharacterized. The transcript has 3 exons. The record is from RefSeq and is a predicted model, not a curated record. NCBI's taxonomy places the organism in Eukaryota, Viridiplantae, Streptophyta, Magnoliopsida, Solanales, Solanaceae.